Molecule: long non-coding RNA, 1044 nt
Organism: Carassius gibelio (silver crucian carp)
Lineage: Eukaryota; Metazoa; Chordata; Actinopteri; Cypriniformes; Cyprinidae
Exons: 3
Source: RefSeq, a predicted model, not a curated record
CAGCCGCUCUGAGUCUCGUAAUCAUACAGUGUUAAACAUUAGAUACUGUAUUUCUGUAACUUUGAACAAAUGACUUUUGAUCAAUAUCAUUGUAAGUACACUCUCUCAUCAUUGUGUAAACAUUUCUAUUUAUAAUUUCCUGGUAUCAGAAGGUGUUUUUUUUUGUUGUUUUUUAACCUACAAGCUUCGUGUCACUAAAGAUUGCAGCAUUUUGUUUUGAAUAGCAUGUUUCUAAGAGACAUACACAAACAUCUAACCGAGGACAAAGUCACUUGUUUACUUUACUAAAGGAAAAAAGCUCUAAUGCCUUGCUCUAAUGAAAUUCCAACAUCCUGUUGCAGUUUCCCUGCAGUCACCUGGGAACACGAGCCUGUGAACACGCGUUUGGAGAGGAUCUGCUGUGAUUCACACUCCCACACGUUGGCUACUAUCACUCAGUCGGCGUUCGGGACUGACAAACAUUUGACAGAAAACCAUCUAUUUCUCACGCAAAUCUAUCCUAUGACUUCAGAUUAUGGUGCACAAGUCAUAUAGUGUACUUUUUGAUGCUGUUACGGUGCUUUUUUGAAUCUUGAAAACUCCAGUCUACAUUUAUUCCAAAGGCUUGGAAUAAAACAACAAAAUCUGUCCUGUUAUGUUCUGCAAAAGAAAAGAAGACAUACAGGUUUGCCCAAACAACAACGUGAUGCACAAGUCAUUCGAAAUGCUUGGAAAGAGCUGCUCUUCAGAUCUUGUAAAACCUGGGAUGCAAAUUCCACAACGCUCUUUUGCCAACAAUUCCUCUCUUGCUCAAGGCUGCAUUCCAGCAGAAGAGAGGUUCUUAUUUUGCCUAUUUCUAAGCACCUGUUACCUUGGAGACCAGAGAAAAAGAAAUAGCAUUGCAGUAGGAGGCAAUAUCCUCAGAAAUGUACGAGACACACCCUUGGAGAUGAAAUGGCCGGGAAUUAAUCAUUCUGAAUGUGUAAUGGAGCAAUUUGUUAAAGCUUUGCAUUCAGGUUGCAUUAAUUAGUUUAUGAUAAUUUUUUUUUUACAAAUUGUUUAUCU